This 45-nucleotide non-coding RNA is filed under the name Schistosoma margrebowiei. The record is from RNAcentral. Lineage: Eukaryota; Metazoa; Platyhelminthes; Trematoda; Strigeidida; Schistosomatidae.
AUCCAGCUGGCGGGUCCAAAAUAGGACGAAACACGCGUCCAGGAC